CGAAGCUUUCUUUGUCUCUUGUUCCUACCCUGCUGGUGUAUGGCUGUUGGCUGCUGCUGCUUAAUUGCUGAUUAUACAACUUAUACGGCUACUGGAUCGAUAUGAACCACUGGGUAUGCGUGUCUGAAUAAACAACUUGGGCCACAUGGGCAUGUGCAACUGGACAUGUGCCGCUUCAUUCGUACGUCUAUACACACCGUGUGCGCAACCGCGCACCGCUCCUGGUCAAAUUGUCAUACCGAAUUUCCCGAGAACAAAUGGUUAAAGUUAGCGCAUUCGUGAUGUCUCCGUUUGCCCCUUUCGUCCUUGUCUGCUGGCACUAUAAAUGUUCUAAAAAAAAAAAAACUGCCCGCUUUUCGGCCUAUAUCUCUCGUUGUGGGUAUGUGCCAAUGAUUGGAAUCAUCAUCAUCAUCAAAAUCAAGCCGCGGUCUGGGAACCGGUCGCUCCUCGACGCCUGGGAUGCCGCCGCGAGCGUCGAACAAGCAAGCAGCCCCGCUCUGCCCUUGAGAAAGUGGGGGGUGGCCGCGGGGCAGAGUGGGAGGGCGCAGUCGCACGCUCCGCGCGUCCCGGGCUCCCAAAAUUCUCGCCGGCUAUAACCCCUCGUCCCCCCCUCGUACGUGUAUAGGCGCCCGGGCCUGGGACGGGCCGGCGCGACGCUUGGGCGCGCUCGCAGUCGGACUGCACCAACGACGUCUGCUCCGCGACAGGCCGAGCUUUCGGGUGCCGCAUAACCGGAGCCGGAUCUACAUGGACAACGGCACCAACGGCGAGCGCGUCACGAUGAGUGGCAAAUGGACGCAAGUCGCGUUCGUUGUGUCCGCCAUCUUGGGCGCGUACCUCUUCAACCGCCAGCGUGUGAGCAUCUAUACCUUCGAGCCGCCGCUGGACGAGAGGAUACCGUGCGCUGCCGUCCCUUCCAUGAUGGAGCGCCGGGAGGACUGUGAGGCCGCUGUGUGUUUGUGGAAGGAGGCCGAGGCACCGUACCCUCGAUGCUUCCAGCCUCGGGACUACUACGGCUACCGGCUGCGCAGCUACUCGGUGCAGGACACGGGCCACGUCCUGUUUAACCUGACCUACGCGGGGGGUCCGUACAGCCCUCACUCCGAUGGUCUCAUAGCCAACGUACAGUUCGAGGUGAUCAAGUACAGCGACCGCAUCGUGCGCUUCAAGUUCGUGAAUGCCGAAGAGCGGCGCUACGAGGUGCCCGUUCAGGACACCUUCGAGUCCCUCCGCAAGCCUCUGAACAUGUACGACCUGCGAUACUCCUUCAAGAUGGGCUCCAGCAGCCGCGGCGGCUUCUUCCACUUCAGCUUAAUGCGUCGUCACACGGACGUCAAGCUCAUCGACACCAGCAUCGGCGGCCUGGUGAUGACCAACCAGUACCUGCAGUUUGUCACGUACCUGCCGUCGACCAACCUGUACGGCUUCGGCGAGACAGUACGCAAGAGACUGCGGCAUGAGUUCGACUUCACUACUCACGUGAUGUUCGCCAGGGACCAAAUGCUCAAGGACGGCAAAAACCUGUACGGCGUCCAUCCAUUCUACAUGUGCGUAGAGGACGGUGGCAAAGCGCACGGCGUACUCCUUCUCAACAGCAAUGCUAUCGAGUACACGCUUCUCAAGGCUCCCGCUCUGCGGCUGGCCACCAUCGGUGGAGUGCUCGACUUCUUCCUUUUCGUGGGCGACAACCCCAUGGAGGUCAUCGAACUUUACGCCAGCGUGAUCGGCAAGCCAUUCCUGCCCCCCUACUGGGCGCUGGGAUUCCAGCUGUCGCGCUACGGUUACGGGUCGCUGGAGAAACUCAGGAAGGUGCUGGAGAGGAACCAGAAGGCCGGAUUCCCCGUGGACGUGCAGCACCUGGAUAUCGACUACAUGGAAAACUCGACCACGUUCACCGUCGACCCCGUGCGCUACGCUGGUCUGAUGGGCUUCAUGGCUGAGCAGCGAGAGAAGCACGGACUGCGAUUCGUCGUCAACCUGACGCCAGCACUUCCGAGCACGUUCCGCGGCUACCGGCCGUUCAUGCGCGGCCGCCACCUCAAGACGUUCGUCGAGUACCCGAGCAUGACGCCGCUGGAGCGCCGUAGCAUGCCUCCCGUCAACUUCAAGACGCGCAACGUCAUGUUCGGAAUACUGUGGCCCUGCAGCCCCGUGGCGUACGUGGACUUUUUCAAGAACUCCACCGCCCUCUGGUGGAAGAAGGAACUCGCGGAGCUGCGAAAGAAGCUACCCUUCGACGGCAUCUGGCUGGACAUGAACGAACCGGCCGAGUUCAGCACCAACCGCGGGGCGCUGAGCCCCGCCGUGCGCGAGAAGUGCUUCAAGGACUGGAAGCUGCAGUGCCACGUGACCAUCUUCGACGAUCCGCCAUACCCGACGAGGGCGGCGACUCAGUACGGCCCAGAGGCCCGUCUCAGCGACCGCACCCUGUGCAUGAGCGGCCGCUUGGGCGACACGGAGAGCUACUGGCACUACGACGUGCACAACCUGUACGGCUGGAGCGAGAUGCGCGCCACGCACAGCGCCCUUGACGAAGUGCUCAGCGAGCGGCAGGUGAUCAUCAGCCGGUCGACGUACCCGUCGAGCGGCCGGUACGGAGGGCACUGGCUCGGUGACAACCAAAGCACCUGGACACACCUCCGCCGCUCCAUCAUCGGCAUGCUGGAGUUCAACAUGUUCGGCAUACCGUACGUAGGCGCUGACAUAUGCGGCUUCGUCGGAAACGUCACAGAGGACCUGUGCGUCCGGUGGAUGCAGCUCGGCGCCUUCUACCCGUUCAGCAGAUCCCACAACCACAUCAGAGCAGUCGACCAAGACCCGGCGGUGUUCAGCGAGGCCGCGCAGGCCGUGAUGAGGAAGGCGCUGCAGGUGCGCUACACGCUGCUGCCCUACCUGUACACGCUCUUCUACGAGGCGCACAGCAACGGCACGCCCGUCGUCAGGCCUCUGUUCUUCGAGUUCCCGCAGGAACCCCAUACGUACGGCAUCGAUGCGCAGUUCAUGUGGGGCAAGUCUCUGCUCAUCUCUCCCAUCACACGAAAUAACACAUACAUGUCGUUCUACCUGCCUGCGGGACUGUGGUACGAGUACUACGACAACACUCCGUUCCUGAGCACGGGCGAGUACAUGGUUCACAACUGGCUCACGCUGAAGACGCCGACACCGCUGUACGUCCGGGCAGGUUCCGUGCUCCCGACGCAGACCCCGGGGCCGAACACGCGCGACAGGCUCAACAAAACCGUCACCCUGGUGGUGUACCCACAUAACGGGACGGCAUCCGGUACUCUCUUCUGGGACGAUGGCGUCGGGAAACGAAACAUCGAAACCGGUGCCUACGAUUACUUCCGGUUCCGCAUCGCCGCUUGUCACAUGACCAUUAACCGGCUGCACAAGAACACUGCACCCGUGCCUCUCAUCAUCGGGAGCCUCGUGAUGGUGGGCCAGGAGACCGCGCCCACCCAGCUCUACGUGGAUGAGCAGCAGCAGCGAAAUUCCAUAGCUCCGAUCGGGAACAAGAAGCAUGCAGCAAAGCAGGAGGCAUCACAGAGCCCGACAACUUCUCCACCUCCUGAAUCCGGUGACAGUUCCGAAACCCAGGCUGACAUGAACAAGAAACUUCGGAAAAGAAACUGUAUAGUCGUUGGCUGCACCAAGAGCAGCAAGCCUCUACACCGGGUGCCCCAAAACUACGAGCUCCGCCGUGCAUGGCUGGAGCGAAUCGGGCUCCCACCAUCGGACACGCGAGCCCACAUAUCCGUGUGCGAACGGCAUUUCGCCAUCAAUGCUCACGCGCUAAACCCAGAUCUGGUGGAGGAAUUGGGCUUCGCUUCUAGGUGGCGGUUGCGGCGAGAUGCGGUGCCGACGCUGUUUCUUCCCACCGGUCCAGCUUCAUUGCAGCAGUGCAGCUGUCAUUGUGCGAGCGGCACAGUGUUUACCCAGACCAUUCCGUACCAGUGCACUGUUGAACAGACUUCAGUGAUGGCUAUGCAAAGGAAUGCUGAUGGAUCUUCACAUGUCGACGGCAACGCAGACCGCAGCUUCUUUCUCCCAGCCAUGACCAACGCAGAACCCCGGGCGGAACACUGCUUUUCUAAUGUAUCUUGGAGGUGGUUCUCCGGUGACGUACGUGUAGGACGAGCGUCAGCACAGCCAAAUUUAUUUCGAGGAGCUGGCAAAAGGCAGUCUUGCACUGCCUAGAACAGCCUAGAGUCAUCGACUGUUCCUAUGGCUGUGAUGUUGGGUUUCCAAAGCCAUCAGAAUUGCAAUAGUCUUACUUCAGCCAGAAGAAGUACUACUCUGCAUGAUGUCAAAGCAUCCUAUUAGACAUGUUCGUAGACAUGUUCACUGGCUAACCCAGUUCUACCCAUGGUGCCCACGUCCUGAAGAAGAGCUUUUACAAGGAUGCAGCAGCCAAGGGCCAAGGUGGGGACGUACAUUCUGGGUGCCUCGGCUUAUCCCUUGCAACCUCGACUCCUGACACUACACAAGGCUACAACGAAAGACAUGAUGCAAAGGAAACUACUAUUGUAGUCACAGUCUGCAGAGGGGGAUUAUUGAGGGCACCUUUGGACUGCUGAACGACCUGUUCAGACACCUCUUCAAUGCAGCAUCCAUAAAGACAAUAAUCAUCGGAGCAUGUGUUCUGAACUUGUGCAGUUGCUUCAGUGAUUGAGACAGUGACGGAUGAACUGCGGACAUCGGCCUCAAGUAUCGUGUCGCAUGCUGAUGACAGUGACAUCGAGCCCUGGCCAGGCAGAUUGAGAAAUUGUACUCUGAGAACGCAGCAAACAGUUGAGUUCUGCUUGUUGAGUUUUGUUGUUGUUCAGUAGUUUAUGCAAGAACACAUUUGAAUUUAACCUUGGGAAACGUUUUCUUCCAUGACGAAUACACAUUUUCAAGUUGACAUGUUCCUGACAAACUACACUAAUGUUCAAAUCGCAAGACAUUGUGCUUAUUUGGGAAUUGGUUGUAUAAUAAGUGUUUUAGUUUGCGUA
Dermacentor andersoni is the source of this 4994-nucleotide non-coding RNA. NCBI's taxonomy places the organism in Eukaryota, Metazoa, Arthropoda, Arachnida, Ixodida, Ixodidae. The record is from RefSeq and is a predicted model, not a curated record.